RNAcentral lists this long non-coding RNA (536 nucleotides) under Vulpes vulpes (red fox). RNAcentral's name for it is "lncRNA (ENSVVUG00000012053.1)". The record is from RNAcentral. Lineage: Eukaryota; Metazoa; Chordata; Mammalia; Carnivora; Canidae.
UUCACUCAGGCACCAAUUUGUAGUAGCUUUCUAUUAUGCCUAACCUUAGGCUUGUUUUCAAGGAAGAAAAGUUCAAGAUGACUGAAUGGAAGUAGAAGUUCAAUGUUCUGCAGUAAAGAAUGAAGAGCUCCAGGAACAAUGAAUACAUGGAGUCAUCAUGAAGAAGUCUAUUGUCAAGAUUUGGGAGGUUUCAUUGCAGUGGAUUAUAAAAGGCACUGGGGCAGCUGAUACACUGAGGUGCCAUUAAAAAUUAUAUCACCACUGAAGGAUAAUCUUGCUGUAGGCAAGAUUGCUUUGGGUGUGUAUUCCAGUUUAGGUGCCAAAAAUGCUAAGACUUGGAUAAAGGAGAGGAGAAAGUACAGCUAUGUUCUCUGUAUGCUUUUGCUGCUUCGAGGGAGACAGAAAAACAGCAGGAAAUGCUCAUUUCUUCUCUUGGGAUCUUUCAAGGACCUCCUACCUGAACAGUAUGGUUGAACUUUGCUUUGUAAGGGGAAGUUGUGUAUAAACCAAGGUGUUGCUGUGGCCUGUUGUCUUUU